AGGAAUUCAGUCGACAACCCUAUCCAAAUUUGAAUUCUGUUGAUGAAUAAUUAAUAUAUGGAAAGACGGACCCUUGGCUGUGAACAGGUUAUCAACACUUGAUAACUGCAGAUAACCAAAGCUGGACUGUAAUUUUAAGGUUUGGCUACGAAGGAUAUGAAACAAUUUCAAGGAGAACUAACUGUGAGAGAAGACUUACCUUAUGAUGAUGAUAAUGAAGUAGAUUAUUGUGGGGUUGACGACGACGAUGAUGAGUUUUAGAAGUAGAUGAUGAAGGUGAUUGACUUUAGGAGAAGAAUUCGCAUUUGCAGCAGCGGAUGAGGGUUGAGGAGGCUUCGUUUUUCGUUGAAAAGAGAAGAGAAGGCACCUAAAUGAGAUUUAUUAGGCCACAGCUUGACAGACUUCACCGAAAAAAAGCCUAUCAAAAAGUCCAAAUCAACAAUAGCUUCGUAUUCAGCUGAAACGCAUUAAUAGAUUUAGACCUGUUAGGACAAAAAAAAGUAACACAUUAUUAAGUUCAUUCCCGAAGGCUAAAAAAAGAUCUCAAGCUUUGAAAUGUUGAAAUUCCAAAUACUCGCCGCUGCUAAAAGACCAAUCUCAACUGAGAUAAAUAUCACACCAAAGAAAUCUUUAUUUGAAUUAAACUUGAAAGAUAAUCCAUUAGUAAAUGGCUUUGUCCAAUUGACCUGGAAUGUAAUCCAAAUUAGUCAUUACAAGCACAUAAUCAAUUAUAGUGUUUGUUGUCAACACUAUAUUGUUUGUUGUCAUUUAACAUGUACUUUGUGAUGCUGCCAACACCUAAAUUCCAUUAGUAGAUGUAUACUGUAGUUGCAUAUUAAUAAUUUAAAUGUGACAACAGUUACCAAAUCAUAUGACACCAAUCAUUCCAUUAGAAAUUACACUAUAAUUCACAUAUUAUACCUGUAAUUACAGUGACCGCCAGCUCCAUUCCAGUCAUCCUAUUAUUAUAAAAAAAAAAACCAACAGGUGGAGGAACUUGGAAUAACAGUUAGAAGAAAGAAGAAAAAUAAAUAAUUACGUUUGAGAUUAAAACUGAAUAACCAUUAUAGAUUAUAAGAACACAAAAAUAUAAGAAGAAUUUAAAAACAAAACUGAAAUUGAAAACUAAAAUGUCAUGUAAAAAAUAGAAACAAACAUUAAUUUUUCCUUUUUUACACAAAGAAGUAAUUGUACUACGUACCACUGAAAACCUAGAUAAUAGAAAAUCUUAAUUUAAUCCAACUGAGUGACUUAACCAUGUUUAACACUCAACAUGCCUUGGAAGUCCAAUGACUGUAGCCAUAUUUGAUAAGCACUAAGUGUGAUUAUGACCAAAAAUUUUUAUUUGAAAUAAACCCGAAAGAUAAACAUUUUUGGAAUAAAUAUAAAUGAAUAAGUAAAACUUACACUGGCUCAAUUACUGAAUUUAGCAUUGAUUGUGCUCGUUCCUUCUCUCUUCUUAUGAGUUGCCCUAGCUUUGCCUUACUUAUCUCUUCAGUUCCAUUUGAAAAUAUAGCUUCCAAUGACUUUGUUUGAGAAGUUGAAUCACUGCCAUGUAGGUAACAUUAUAAGCAUGUUUAUUUUAUGUUACAAAUAAUGAAAAUUGUUGUUCAUGUAAUUAAAUAAAAUAAAAAAAUUAUAUUAUCUAUGUGCAAUCCUUAUGCAUUGAUUUGAAAAAACUUACAUAGGUUCAAUUACUGAAUUUAGAAUCGAUUGCGCUCGUUCCCUUUCUCUUCUCAAACGUUGUCCUUGUUUUGCCUUACUUAUCUCUUCACUGUUGGUUGAAGAAGUUUUCACACUUUUGACAGGUAUUUUUUUCUUUGUCAUGAUUGUGCUCCAAGUA
Molecule: long non-coding RNA, 1843 nt
Filed under: Aquilegia coerulea
Lineage: Eukaryota; Viridiplantae; Streptophyta; Magnoliopsida; Ranunculales; Ranunculaceae
Description: long non-coding RNA (ACOE_LNC001044)
Source: RNAcentral